CAAUAGCGUAUAUUAAAGUUGUUGCAGUUAAAAAGCUCGUAGUUGGAUUUCUGGAUGGAGCGACCGGUCGGGCAUUAAUUUGUCUGCACUGGAGUCGGUUCCGUCCAUCCUCUUGGAGAGUGCGUGGGGCAUUAAGUUGUCUGGCGUAUGAUCCAAGUCGUUUACUGUGAAAAAAUUAGAGUGUUUAAAGCAGGCCUUCGCCUUGAAUACAUUAGCAUGGAAUAAUAAGAUAGGACUUUGGUCUAUUUUGUUGGUUUGCAGACCGAAGUAAUGAUUAAUAGGGAUAGUUGGGGGUAUUUAUAUUCCGAUGUCAGAGGUGAAAUUCUUAGAUUUUCGGAAGAUAAACUUAUGCGAAAGCAUUUACCAAGGAUGUUUUCAUUAA
Molecule: ribosomal RNA, 382 nt
Filed under: uncultured eukaryote
Lineage: Eukaryota
Description: partial 18S ribosomal RNA
Rfam family: Eukaryotic small subunit ribosomal RNA
Source: RNAcentral